Molecule: long non-coding RNA, 500 nt
Organism: Agrilus planipennis (emerald ash borer)
Lineage: Eukaryota; Metazoa; Arthropoda; Insecta; Coleoptera; Buprestidae
Exons: 3
Source: RefSeq, a predicted model, not a curated record
CAUAAAUAGUCUGACAUUCAACACAACCUUGUCGACUACGUCAUCGCUAUAAAGCGGCAAGGAAAACCGUGGCCGACCGAUGCCGCCGCCGAUAUCUCUGUCUCUGUUGUCUACACUUGCAUGUCUUGCUUGGAAAAAUAUGUCUGUGUUCUCCGGUCAGUGUUUCGUGAAAUUUCCGUCGACGCAGUUUUGUUGAGUUGAGGUGAAACGGUGAAAUCGCGCCUAGCUUACUUGGAUUAUAAUAAAAACGUUAUAGUUUAGAUUUGUAAUACUUUUAGAUUUAACGUGAUAGAAUAGAAACAAGAAUGAAGAUAAUUGUAGGACAUUUACUAUAUUUUUUCGCAGUAAUAGGAUUAGGAAGCACAUAUUCAAAGUAUGGUAGAACAUGUAAAGAUAUAGGAUGUACUAGUAGCGAAGUGUGCGUAAUGGCAGAGGAUCCCUGCAGCUAUUAUAACAGGGGAAACGAUUGUGGAUCGUAAGUAAUUAACCUGAUCUCCUCA